This 403-nucleotide ribosomal RNA is filed under the name Verrucomicrobiota bacterium. Its description in RNAcentral is "Verrucomicrobia bacterium partial 16S ribosomal RNA". It matches the Rfam family "Bacterial small subunit ribosomal RNA", at positions 355 to 776 of the family's 1533-position model. Lineage: Bacteria; Pseudomonadati; Verrucomicrobiota. The record is from RNAcentral.
UGGGGAAUAUUGCACAAUGGGCGCAAGCCUGAUGCAGCAACGCCGCGUGAACGAUGAAGGUAUUCGGAUCGUAACGUUCUGUUGCAGGGGAAGAUAAUGACGGUACCCUGUGAGGAAGCCCCGGCUAACUACGUGCCAGCAGCCGCGGUAAUACGUAGGGGGCUAGCGUUAUCCGGACUUACUGGGCGUAAAGGGUGCGUAGGUGGUCUUUCAAGUCGGUGGUUAAAGGCUACGGCUCAACCGUAGUUAGCCUCCGAAACUGGAAGACUUGAGUGCAGGGGAGGAAAGUGGAAUUCCCAGUGUAGCGGUGAGAUGCGUAGGUAUUGGGAGGAACAACAGUAGCGAAGGCGGCUUUCUGGACUGCAACUGACACUGAAACACGAAAGCGUAGGUAGCAAACAGG